UAGGGAAUAUUAGUAAUGGGCGAAAGCCUGAUCUAGCAACACCGCGUGUGCGAAGAAGGCCUUCGGGUUGUAACGUUCUGUUGUCCUGGAACAAGAGUGAUCGUCGAAUAGGCGGUCACGAUGAGGGUACAGGAAGAGGAAGCACCGGCUAAUUCCGUGCCAGCAGCUGCGGUAAUACGGAAGGUGCAAGCGUUAGUCGGAAUUACUGGGCGUAAAGGGUGCGUAGGCGGUGAUAUAAGUCGGAUGUGAAAUUCCAAGGCUCAACCUUGGAGCUGCAUCCGAGACUGUACCACUAGAGGAAUGGCGGAGAGAAUGGAAUUCCAUAUGUAGCGGUGAAAUGCGUAGAUAUAUGGAAGAACACCCGUGGCGAAAGCGGUUCUCUAGCCUUCUCCUGACGCUGAGGCACGAAAGCAAGGGGAGCAAACA
Molecule: ribosomal RNA, 426 nt
Filed under: uncultured prokaryote
Description: bacterial SSU rRNA
Rfam family: Bacterial small subunit ribosomal RNA
Source: RNAcentral